RNAcentral lists this ribosomal RNA (288 nucleotides) under uncultured bacterium. RNAcentral's name for it is "partial 16S ribosomal RNA". It matches the Rfam family "Bacterial small subunit ribosomal RNA", at positions 335 to 640 of the family's 1533-position model. The record is from RNAcentral.
UACCUACGGGGGGCAGCAGUGGGGGAUAUUGCACAAUGGGGGGAACCCUGAUGCAGCGACGCCGCGUGAGUGAAGAAGUAUUUCGGUAUAUAAAGCUCUAUCAGCAGGGAAGAAGAAAGACGGUACCUGAGUAAGAAGCCCCGGCUAACUACGUGCCAGCAGCCGCGGUAAUACGUAGGGGGCAAGCGUUAUCCGGAUUUACUGGGUGUAAAGGGAGCGUAGACGGUUACGCAAGUCUGGAGUGAAAGGCGGGGGCCCAACCCCCGGACUGCUUUGGAAACUGUAUAA